RNAcentral lists this transfer RNA (64 nucleotides) under Parasitus wangdunqingi. RNAcentral describes it as "tRNA-Met". Lineage: Eukaryota; Metazoa; Arthropoda; Arachnida; Mesostigmata; Parasitidae. The record is from RNAcentral.
UAUAAAGUAAGCUAAGUCUAAGCUAGUGGGCUCAUACCCCAAAUAUGAUAAAUAUCCUUUAUAA